AGAUUGAACGCUGGCGGCGUGCCUAACACAUGCAAGUCGAGCGGUAACAGGUGUAGCAAUACAUGCUGACGAGCGGCGAACGGGUGAGUAAUGCUUUGGAAUCUUCCCAGUAGUGGGGAAUAACCAGUCGAAAGAUUGGCUAAUACCGCAUACGUCUGUAAAGGGAAAGCGGGGGCUCGUAAGACCUCGCGCUAUUGGAUGAGCCAAAGUCGGAUUAGCUUGUUGGUGGGGUAAUGGCCUACCAAGGCGACAAUCCGUAGCUGGUCUGAGAGGACGACCAGCCACACCGGAACUGAGACACGGUCCGGACUCCUACGGGAGGCAGCAGUGGGGAAUAUUGGACAAUGGGGGAAACCCUGAUCCAGCGACGCCGCGUGUGUGAAGAAGGCCUGCGGGUUGUAAAGCACUUUUAGUGGGGACAAAAAGCUACGGAUUAAUACUCUGUGGUCUUGAUUUAACCCAAAGAAAAGCACCGGCUAACUCUGUGCCAGCAGCCGC
RNAcentral lists this ribosomal RNA (498 nucleotides) under uncultured bacterium. RNAcentral describes it as "SSU rRNA". It matches the Rfam family "Bacterial small subunit ribosomal RNA", at positions 26 to 518 of the family's 1533-position model. The record is from RNAcentral.